AGAAACUUAGGAUAAACAGACCAAAGGCCUUCAAAGCCUUAAGUGGAAGUGAGAAUCUUCCAGUCUCUG
Molecule: transfer RNA, 69 nt
Filed under: Rhinomuraena quaesita (ribbon moray)
Lineage: Eukaryota; Metazoa; Chordata; Actinopteri; Anguilliformes; Muraenidae
Description: tRNA-Trp
Rfam family: tRNA
About the family: Transfer RNA (tRNA) molecules are approximately 80 nucleotides in length. Their secondary structure includes four short double-helical elements and three loops (D, anti-codon, and T loops).
Source: RNAcentral